Orcinus orca (killer whale) is the source of this 623-nucleotide long non-coding RNA. RefSeq lists it as uncharacterized. The record is from RefSeq and is a predicted model, not a curated record. Lineage: Eukaryota; Metazoa; Chordata; Mammalia; Artiodactyla; Delphinidae. The transcript is spliced from 2 exons.
UUCCGCGGAAGCGGCGCCCCGCGCAGCCCGCACCGCGGCUCAGGCGGCGCCGAGGGCGGCCCGGGCGGAAGAGCGGGCGCGGGGCACGCGCUCGGUAACCUGGCAACGCGGAGCAACCCGGCGUCUCCGGCGAACCCCAGCCCUCCACCGCGAAGAAGCACGGACCCCCGCACCAGCCGCCCAGCCCGCGCCGCCCCUCGGUCGCUCCGCCCGCCGCUGCCCGCUGGCUAUGGUCUUUUAAAUCCAUGAUACAACGUCUAUAUGUAACAAAUCUGUUAAACCCUAAAUGUUUAUGAUACUCAAGUAAUCCAUUAUCUGAAUUAUUCUUGAAGAUAAAACAUCCAAGACUUCUUAAUUGUAUAGGUAUACAUACAUAAAAUACACGUGGAGGUUUACAGAGGCUGGGAAGCUGGGGACUGGACUUACAUGCCAGGAGCUUCUAAGAUCACACGCAAAAAUAAGGCUACUGGAAGAGAUUGUUGGAAUCUAUCUCUGUAUAUUUGAACAUGGGCAGUGGUUAACCAGGAUGCUCACACCAAGCUUAUAUCCAGCUUGCAGCACAAGCUACAAGUUGGUGCAUCCCUCCUACUACCAGCCUCUUCUCAAUAAAUGCAGGUGAAAAC